GUAAAAUGGCUGAGUAAGCAUUAGACUGUAAAUCUAAAGACAGGGGUUAAUUCCCCUUUUUACCA
Molecule: transfer RNA, 65 nt
Filed under: Rattus tunneyi (Tunney's rat)
Lineage: Eukaryota; Metazoa; Chordata; Mammalia; Rodentia; Muridae
Description: tRNA-Tyr
Rfam family: tRNA
About the family: Transfer RNA (tRNA) molecules are approximately 80 nucleotides in length. Their secondary structure includes four short double-helical elements and three loops (D, anti-codon, and T loops).
Source: RNAcentral